UACGAAGGGGGCUAGCGUUGCUCGGAAUUACUGGGCGUAAAGGGCGCGUAGGCGGUCUUUUAAGUCUUGUGUGAAAUCCCUCGGCUCAACUGAGGAACUGCACGGGAUACUGGAAGACUUGAGUUCGGGAGAGGGAAGCGGAAUUUCGGGUGUAGCGGUGAAAUGCGCAGAUAUCAGGAGGAACACCGGUGGCGAAGGCGGGUCUCUGGGCCGAUACUGACGCUGAGGAGCGAAAGCGUGGGGAGCGAACAGG
RNAcentral lists this ribosomal RNA (253 nucleotides) under uncultured bacterium. RNAcentral's name for it is "partial 16S ribosomal RNA". It matches the Rfam family "Bacterial small subunit ribosomal RNA", at positions 524 to 776 of the family's 1533-position model. The record is from RNAcentral.